GUGGGGAAUCUUGCGCAAUGGGCGAAAGCCUGACGCAGCCAUGCCGCGUGAAUGAUGAAGGUCUUAGGAUUGUAAAAUUCUUUCACCGGGGACGAUAAUGACGGUACCCGGAGAAGAAGCCCCGGCUAACUUCGUGCCAGCAGCCGCGGUAAUACGAAGGGGGCUAGCGUUGCUCGGAAUUACUGGGCGUAAAGGGCGCGUAGGCGGACAGUUUAGUCAGAGGUGAAAGACCAGGGCUCAACCUUGGAAUUGCCUUUGAUACUGGCUGUCUUGAGUACGGAGGAGGUGAGUGGAACUCCGAGUGUAGAGGUGAAAUUCGUAGAUAUUCGGAAGAACACCAGAGGCGAAGGCGACUCACUGGCCCAUUACUGACGCUGAGGCGCGAAAGCGUGGGGAGCAAACAGGAUUAGAAACCCGGGUAGUCC
RNAcentral lists this ribosomal RNA (425 nucleotides) under uncultured bacterium. Its description in RNAcentral is "partial 16S ribosomal RNA". It matches the Rfam family "Bacterial small subunit ribosomal RNA", at positions 354 to 796 of the family's 1533-position model. The record is from RNAcentral.